GAGUUGCGAACGGGUGAGUAACGCGUAGGUAACCUGCCUGGUAGCGGGGGAUAACUAUUGGAAACGAUAGCUAAUACCGCAUAAAAGUCGACAUUGCAUGAUGUUGAUUUGAAAGGUGCAAUUGCAUCACUAAGAGAUGGACCUGCGUUGUAUUAGCUAGUUGGUGAGGUAACGGCUCACCAAGGCGACGAUACAUAGCCGACCUGAGAGGGUGAUCGGCCACACUGGGACUGAGACACGGUCCAGACUCC
This 251-nucleotide ribosomal RNA is filed under the name uncultured Streptococcus sp. RNAcentral describes it as "partial 16S ribosomal RNA". It matches the Rfam family "Bacterial small subunit ribosomal RNA", at positions 93 to 339 of the family's 1533-position model. The record is from RNAcentral. Lineage: Bacteria; Bacillati; Bacillota; Bacilli; Lactobacillales; Streptococcaceae.